This 256-nucleotide unclassified non-coding RNA is filed under the name Ascomycota sp. RNAcentral's name for it is "partial contains small subunit ribosomal RNA, internal transcribed spacer 1, and 5.8S ribosomal RNA". The stretch from base 1 to 47 matches the Rfam family "Eukaryotic small subunit ribosomal RNA", at positions 1785 to 1831 of the family's 1831-position model. The record is from RNAcentral. Lineage: Eukaryota; Fungi; Ascomycota.
AAAGUCGUAACAAGGUCUCCGUUGGUGAACCAGCGGAGGGAUCAUUACUGAGUGUAAAAACUCCCCAAACCCACUGUGAACCUUACCACUGUUGCUUCGGCGGACACGCCCCGGGCGCCCCCCUCACGGGCGGUGCCCCGGACCCAGGCGCCCGCCGGAGACCAACCUAACCUCUGUAUUUAUCCAUGGGUAUCUCUGAGUCUGAUUUUGAAACAAAUCAACAUUAAAACUUUCAACAACGGAUCUCUUGGCUCUG